GCCGCCGUCGAAGGUGGCCGAGGUCUGGUACGGCUACGGCCCGUCGGCCGAGUUCCCGGAACUCGGUGAAGGCGGUUCGGCGCCGAUGGGCGGCCC
Molecule: transfer RNA, 96 nt
Filed under: Amycolatopsis sp. YIM 10
Lineage: Bacteria; Bacillati; Actinomycetota; Actinomycetes; Pseudonocardiales; Pseudonocardiaceae
Description: tRNA-Arg
Source: RNAcentral